GUGCUCGCUUUGGCAGCACAUAUACUA
Molecule: small nuclear RNA, 27 nt
Filed under: Cervus elaphus hippelaphus
Lineage: Eukaryota; Metazoa; Chordata; Mammalia; Artiodactyla; Cervidae
Source: RNAcentral